GAACCGUCCAAACGUUAUUCGGAAUCACUGGGCUUAAAGGGUGCGUAGGCGGCCUGGUAAGUUGGGUGUGAAAUCCCUCGGGCUCAACCGAGGGAAUGGCGCCCAAUACUGCCAGGCUAGAGGGAGACAGAGGUGGGCGGAACUUGCGGUGGAGCGGUGAAAUGCGUUGAUAUCGCAAGGAACACCAGUAGCGAAAGCGGCUCACUGGGUCUCUUCUGACGCUCAGGCACGAAAGCUAGGGUAGCGAACGGGAUUAGAUACCCCGGUAGUCCUAGCUGUAAACGUUGAGCACUGGGUUGGAGGCUCCUCCAUAGGCUUCCAGCCGUAGCGAAAGUGUUAAGUGCUCCGCCUGGGGAGUAUGGUCGCAAGGCUG
Molecule: ribosomal RNA, 373 nt
Filed under: uncultured organism
Description: partial 16S ribosomal RNA
Rfam family: Bacterial small subunit ribosomal RNA
Source: RNAcentral